Molecule: long non-coding RNA, 562 nt
Filed under: Salvia miltiorrhiza (redroot sage)
Lineage: Eukaryota; Viridiplantae; Streptophyta; Magnoliopsida; Lamiales; Lamiaceae
Description: long non-coding RNA (SMIL_LNC010548)
Source: RNAcentral
GUUGCUGUUGUGCCUAGGAUUAUGAGAUGAUUUUAGGCCAUCUUUUGUUAGCCACAAUUUAUCCCAAACACUGUCCUUAACGAAAAAUUAUCCUUUGUUAUCCACUUUGAGCCUAUUUAGCUUUUAUUCUUUAGCCGGAUGAUAGGGGGUGAUGAAGUAUAUGGGGAUCUUUGUGUGGUGAAUAUUCAUAGUGGGUUGUGAAAAAAGAAGGGAUGAUUUUGUGUUACUAUUUACUCUUAUGAGCUCUAGAAAAGUUGUGGAAAGAAAGAGAAAAAAAAGUUGUUGAAAAAAAAAGAAGAAAAAAAAAGUGUAAAGUCGAGUGUUUAUUGAGAAAUUUGUUAGAAAAUCGACUUUGUUUGUUGGAAAUAAAUGGAGAGCAUAAAAGAGUGUUUAGUUUUGUAUGGUGAUGAUUAAAUCCCUUGAGUAGUGUUGAUUAUGGUGAUAUAGUUGGGUGGAAGAUGGAAUUUAUUCCAUACUUGAUUAGUGAAGUCAUAUGGUGUUCUUGAUUUAUUUGAGUCACUUAGCCUAUAUUUCCCUACCUUAACCAAUGUCCCUACAUUAU